Molecule: long non-coding RNA, 1055 nt
Filed under: Pan troglodytes (chimpanzee)
Lineage: Eukaryota; Metazoa; Chordata; Mammalia; Primates; Hominidae
Description: lincRNA
Source: RNAcentral
AGGAGGAGGGUGGCCUGUCCCGGGCAGACCAGCCUCUCUGGGCUGUGUGGCCCCAGCUCCCUGAGCCCAGAGGGAGGUGAGGGUGAGAAGGCCUGGACCAGGCAGGAUGCAGCCCCUAGGGCCCGUGCUGGGAAGAGGUCAGAACCUCCCAAGGACCCAGAAGGCCAGAACACACUAGAGGGUCCCGGCAUCCUGAUGAGUCCACUGUCCCCGCGAUGGUUUUCAGGGAUGGAGAAGGCUCCCUGUCCUCCGCUGGAACCCUGCAGCCGGGCUGACGAGACCCCAGCGAGACCUGCAGAACAUUACAGCAGAAUGAAGGAGAGCCAGAGGAAGAGGCAGAUGUGCUGGCCUGUAAACAGUCUGAUUUCCAAUGUAAACCAGAUUCAGGCCCACGACAUCAGGUAAACAUCUGCAUCAGAGCCCCCGGCCCCCCACCGCCCGGGAGGCCCCGGGGUCCACACGGCCGACUCUGGGACCCGUCACAGUGACCGCCGAGACAUUUCGUAAUUAGGCAAAAUUGAUCCUUGCAUUCCUUCCCUAAAUCCCAAAUCUCUGCAAUUUUACUUCUUCUCAAAAAUGAAAACAUUUGGCAAUUAGCUGAUCCAAGUGAAAAAGGUAGAGAAUGUGCUCUCAACUGGAAAAUGCCAAUUAAGGAAGCAGCUCUGACUUCCCACCCGCCCUGGCUAAGCUGGGAGCUUAUCUUCCCCGAGAAGAAUCUGCUGGGAUAAGGGGGCUUGGGAAACACCGAGGGCAGGGCUGCCUCCUCACCUCCUCAGCUUCCUCUGAGAGCAGAUUAGCCGUGGCCUUGUGCCAGCAGGGCCUGGGUGCCACACAGGGUGGCAGGGGUGGCAGAGCCGGGCCUGGCUCUGGUACUGGGAUUUGGGGUGGCAGGACCCAGUGGGGCACCCGCUUGUGGGCAGCACUGAGGGCGGUGACGUAGGCAGCGAGUGCCGGUGUCUGCCCCCUCCAUCUGGCCGGGCCCCCCAGCCUGCUCCUGCAGCCCUGGACCUCAGGGCCCAUUUGCGGUGCAAGGCGGCUCUUGGCCGGUCUCCACU